This 442-nucleotide ribosomal RNA is filed under the name uncultured bacterium. RNAcentral's name for it is "SSU rRNA". It matches the Rfam family "Bacterial small subunit ribosomal RNA", at positions 26 to 518 of the family's 1533-position model. The record is from RNAcentral.
AGAACGAACGCUGGCGGCACGCCUAACACAUGCAAGUCGAGCGCCCAGCAAUGGGAGCGGCGGACGGGUGAGGAACACGUGGGAACAUGCCUUUCGGUUCGGCACAACUGCGGGAAACUGCAGCUAAUUCCGGAUACGCCCUUACGGGGAAAGAUUUAUCGCCGAAAGAUUGGCCCGCGUCUGAUUAGCUAGUUGGUGAGGUAAUGGCUCACCAAGGCUUCGAUCAGUAGCUGGUUUGAGAGAACGACCAGCCACACUGGGACUGAGACACGGCCCAGACUCCUACGGGAGGCAGCAGUGGGGAAUCUUGGACAAUGGAGGAAACUCUGAUCCAGCGAUGCCGCGUGAGUGAUGAAGGCCUUCGGGUUGUAAACUCUUUUACCAGGGAAGAUAAUGACUGUACCUGGAGAAUAAGCCCGGCUAACUUCGCGCCAGCAGCCGC